RNAcentral lists this ribosomal RNA (468 nucleotides) under uncultured bacterium. RNAcentral's name for it is "partial 16S ribosomal RNA". It matches the Rfam family "Bacterial small subunit ribosomal RNA", at positions 28 to 507 of the family's 1533-position model. The record is from RNAcentral.
GACGAACGCUGGCGGCGUGCUUAACACAUGCAAGUCGAACGGAAAGGCCCUGCUUUUGUGGGGUGCUCGAGUGGCGAACGGGUGAGUAACACGUGAGUAACCUGCCCUUGACUUUGGGAUAACUUCAGGAAACUGGGGCUAAUACCGGAUAGGAGCUCCUGCUGCAUGGUGGGGGUUGGAAAGUUUCGGCGGUUGGGGAUGGACUCGCGGCUUAUCAGCUUGUUGGUGGGGUAGUGGCUUACCAAGGCUUUGACGGGUAGCCGGCCUGAGAGGGUGACCGGCCACAUUGAGACUGAGAUACGGCCCAGACUCCUACGGGAGGCAGCAGUGGAGAAUAUUGCACAAUGGGCGGAAGCCUGAUGCAGCAACGCCGCGUGCGGGAUGACGGCCUUCGGGUUGUAAACCGCUUUCGCCUGUGACGAAGCGUGAGUGACGGUAAUGGGUAAAGAAGCACCGGCUAACUACGUG